This 110-nucleotide small nuclear RNA is filed under the name Octopus bimaculoides (California two-spot octopus). Lineage: Eukaryota; Metazoa; Mollusca; Cephalopoda; Octopoda; Octopodidae. The record is from RNAcentral.
GAACUUGUUGCUUCAGCUGUGCACAUACUAAAACUGGAACAAUACAGGAAAGGCUAGCAUGGCCCCUGCAGAAUGAUGACAUGCUAAUUUGUGAAGCAUUCCAUAUUCUU